AGGACGAACGCUGGCGGCGUGCCUAAUACAUGCAAGUCGAACGGCUUUUCUAUGGAAGCUUGCUUCCACUGAGAAGAUAGUGGCGAACGGGUGAGUAACACGUGGGGUAACCUGCCCAUAAGAGGGGGAUAACAUCCGGAAACGGGUGCUAAUACCGCAUAGUUUUCUUGAUCGCAUGAUCGGGAAAGGAAAGACGGCCUUUGUGCUGUCGCUUAUGGAUGGACCCGCGGCGUAUUAGUUAGUUGGUGAGGUAACGGCUCACCAAGACGAUGAUACGUAGCCGACCUGAGAGGGUGAUCGGCCACAUUGGGACUGAGACACGGCCCAAACUCCUACGGGAGGCAGCAGUAGGGAAUCUUCCGCAAUGGACGAAAGUCUGACGGAGCAACGCCGCGUGAGUGAAAGAAGGUUUUCGGAUCGUAAAACUCUGUUGUCAGAGAAGAACAAGUUGGAGAGUAACUGCUCCAGCCUUGACGGUAUCUGACCAGAAAGCCACGGCUAACUACGUGCCAGCCGCGGC
Molecule: ribosomal RNA, 520 nt
Filed under: uncultured bacterium
Lineage: Bacteria
Description: bacterial SSU rRNA
Rfam family: Bacterial small subunit ribosomal RNA
Source: RNAcentral